RNAcentral lists this ribosomal RNA (83 nucleotides) under Acholeplasmataceae bacterium. RNAcentral describes it as "partial 16S ribosomal RNA". It matches the Rfam family "Bacterial small subunit ribosomal RNA", at positions 1 to 85 of the family's 1533-position model. Lineage: Bacteria; Bacillati; Mycoplasmatota; Mollicutes; Acholeplasmatales; Acholeplasmataceae. The record is from RNAcentral.
UUUUUAUUGAGAGUUUGAUCCUGGCUCAGGAUUAACGCUGGCGGCAUGCCUAAUACAUGCAAGUCGAACGAGAGUAGCAAUAC